CCGUACGGAAGGAAGGGGGGGAUCUUCGGACCUCUCGCUAAUAGAUGAGCCUAGGCCGGAUUAGCUAGUUGGUAGGGUAAAGGCCUACCAAGGCGACGAUCUGUAGCUGGUCUGAGAGGAUGGCCAGCCACACUGGAACUGAGACACGGUCCAGACUCCUACGGGAGGCAGCAGGUGGGGAAUAUUGGACAAUGGGGGCAACCCUGAUCCAGCCCAUGCCGCGUGUGUGAAGAAGGCCUUCGGGUUGUAAAGCACUUUAAGCGAGGAGGAAGGUUUUAGUUUAAUACACUAAAGAAUUGACGUUACUCGCAGAAUAAGCACCGGCUAACUCUGUG
RNAcentral lists this ribosomal RNA (335 nucleotides) under uncultured bacterium. RNAcentral's name for it is "bacterial SSU rRNA". It matches the Rfam family "Bacterial small subunit ribosomal RNA", at positions 186 to 507 of the family's 1533-position model. The record is from RNAcentral.